RNAcentral lists this ribosomal RNA (561 nucleotides) under uncultured bacterium. Its description in RNAcentral is "partial 16S ribosomal RNA". It matches the Rfam family "Bacterial small subunit ribosomal RNA", at positions 355 to 909 of the family's 1533-position model. The record is from RNAcentral.
UGGGGAAUUUUGGACAAUGGGGGAAACCCUGAUCCAGCCAUCCCGCGUGUGCGAUGAAGGCCUUCGGGUUGUAAAGCACUUUUGGCAGGAAAGAAACGUCGCGGGUUAAUACCCCGCGAAACUGACGGUACCUGCAGAAUAAGCACCGGCUAACUACGUGCCAGCAGCCGCGGUAAUACGUAGGGUGCAAGCGUUAAUCGGAAUUACUGGGCGUAAAGCGUGCGCAGGCGGUUCGGAAAGAAAGAUGUGAAAUCCCAGAGCUUAACUUUGGAACUGCAUUUUUAACUACCGGGCUAGAGUGUGUCAGAGGGAGGUGGAAUUCCGCGUGUAGCAGUGAAAUGCGUAGAUAUGCGGAGGAACACCGAUGGCGAAGGCAGCCUCCUGGGAUAACACUGACGCUCAUGCACGAAAGCGUGGGGAGCAAACAGGAUUAGAUACCCUGGUAGUCCACGCCCUAAACGAUGUCAACUAGCUGUUGGGGCCUUCGGGCCUUGGUAGCGCAGCUAACGCGUGAAGUUGACCGCCUGGGGAGUNCGGUCGCAAGAUUAAAACUCAAAGGAA